UACCAAACCUUUUUGUCAGGGUGCUUCUCUAUCCGUUUUAGGAUAAACUUAUCUACAGAAGUGUCUGUUACUGUUUUGGAAGAGUAAUACUGUUCGCUUAUCCAUAUUUCCCCGUUCUGGGGAAGCCUAAUGGGUAAAUUAGAAGGACAACCUUUGUUUUAAAGGUAUACCUUCGCUUUUUAGAACAUUGAGGAUCUUAUGAGUUGAGCUUUUGUUACUUGAGACUUUAUCUCGGGCUCCAUACAAUAUGUUCGUAGUAAAGAUCCUCACAAUU
Molecule: small nucleolar RNA, 274 nt
Filed under: Saccharomyces cerevisiae YJM1447
Lineage: Eukaryota; Fungi; Ascomycota; Saccharomycetes; Saccharomycetales; Saccharomycetaceae
Description: SNR191
Rfam family: Small nucleolar RNA snR191
Source: RNAcentral